This 219-nucleotide long non-coding RNA is filed under the name Brachypodium distachyon (stiff brome). Its description in RNAcentral is "long non-coding RNA (BDIS_LNC003908)". The record is from RNAcentral. Lineage: Eukaryota; Viridiplantae; Streptophyta; Magnoliopsida; Poales; Poaceae.
CUGCCCUUCAUAACCAAACAGCCCCGCACCAAAACACACCCCCACUAAGCAGCAACACACACGCCACAGCAGCAGCCAAGGAAGAGCUCAGUCAGAUCCCUAUCGAUGGCGUCGCUCACCAUGAUGGCGUCCCUCUCCGCGGCGGCCGUGGCGGUCGACCGGCGCGUGUCGUCCGCCCCGCGCCGCGGGGGGCUCGUUGUGGCCAGGGCCGCCAAGGAG